RNAcentral lists this transfer RNA (84 nucleotides) under Plenaster craigi. RNAcentral's name for it is "tRNA-Leu". It matches the Rfam family "tRNA". From Rfam's summary of the family: Transfer RNA (tRNA) molecules are approximately 80 nucleotides in length. Lineage: Eukaryota; Metazoa; Porifera; Demospongiae; Axinellida; Stelligeridae. The record is from RNAcentral.
GCCACUGUGGUGGAAAUGGUAGACACAGCAGAUUUAAAAUCUGUGGGCGGUAUCGCUAUAUGAGUUCAAGUCUCAUCAGGGGCA